RNAcentral lists this ribosomal RNA (465 nucleotides) under Vreelandella stevensii. RNAcentral's name for it is "partial 16S ribosomal RNA". It matches the Rfam family "Bacterial small subunit ribosomal RNA", at positions 338 to 795 of the family's 1533-position model. The record is from RNAcentral. Lineage: Bacteria; Pseudomonadati; Pseudomonadota; Gammaproteobacteria; Oceanospirillales; Halomonadaceae.
CCUACGGGAGGCAGCAGUGGGGAAUAUUGGACAAUGGGGGGAACCCUGAUCCAGCCAUGCCGCGUGUGUGAAGAAGGCCCUCGGGUUGUAAAGCACUUUCAGUGAGGAAGAACGCCUGGUGGUUAAUACCCAUCAGGAAAGACAUCACUCACAGAAGAAGCACCGGCUAACUCCGUGCUAGCAGCCGCGGUAAUACGGAGGGUGCGAGCGUUAAUCGGAAUUACUGGGCGUAAAGCGCGCGUAGGUGGCUUGAUAAGCCGGUUGUGAAAGCCCCGGGCUCAACCUGGGAACGGCAUCCGGAACUGUCAAGCUAGAGUGCAGGAGAGGAAGGUAGAAUUCCCGGUGUAGCGGUGAAAUGCGUAGAGAUCGGGAGGAAUACCAGUGGCGAAGGCGGCCUUCUGGACUGACACUGACACUGAGGUGCGAAAGCGUGGGUAGCAAACAGGAUUAGAUACCCCGGUAGUC